Molecule: ribosomal RNA, 468 nt
Filed under: uncultured bacterium
Lineage: Bacteria
Description: partial 16S ribosomal RNA
Rfam family: Bacterial small subunit ribosomal RNA
Source: RNAcentral
GACGAACGCUGGCGGCGUGCUUAACACAUGCAAGUCGAACGGAAAGGCCCUGCUUUUGUGGGGUGCUCGAGUGGCGAACGGGUGAGUAACACGUGAGUAACCUGCCCUUGACUUUGGGAUAACUUCAGGAAACUGGGGCUAAUACCGGAUAGGAGCUCCUGCUGCAUGGUGGUGGUUGGAAAGUUUCGGCGGUUGGGGAUGGACUCGCGGCUUAUCAGCUUGUUGGUGGGGUAGUGGCUUACCAAGGCUUUGACGGGUAGCCGGCCUGAGAGGGGGACCGGCCACAUUGGGACUGAGAUACGGACCAGACGCCUACGGGAGGCAGAAGUGGGGAAUAUUGCACAAUGGGCGGAAGCCUGAUGCAGCAACGCCGCGUGCGGGAUGACGGCCUUCGGGUUGUAAACCGCUUUCGCCUGUGACGAAGCGUGAGUGACGGUAAUGGGUAAAGAAGCACCGGCUAACUACGUG